CACCUAUAAAUGGAGCCGAUGCUGCUAGCUCUCCUCUCUCGCUCUCUGCUCUGCCAGCGUCAUUUGCCAUCGCCGCCACGCUACAUCGCCGGAGCUCCGUCCGUCGAUGCCGAGCUCCCCUACAUUCGAGCUGCAUGUAUCGACGUUGGAGCUUUGGUUUCUGCUCGCCAUCGUUCGUGCUCACUUGAUGCUUGCUUGAAGUCGUGUCGACGUCUGCUGCUGCGCAUCAUCAUCGCCAGACCACAACCACCUACGCCGUUGUCCUACUGCUACCUUGCCGGAGAACCUCAACAGCAUUGUGCCUUCGUCGCUCGUCGUCCCUGUUGUUGCUGGAGACCUGCCCCUCGACGCCAACAAUCACGUUUGAUUCCUCGGCGACUGUCGAGUCCCUGCUGCAGCCUCGUCGUCGUUUGCCGAAGCCAUCUAGUGGUUGAUCUAGUAGUUGAGAAUCAAGAUAUUUCGUGGAAGAAUCUCAAGUUUUCAAUAAGCAAGGAUGACGAAGCUGAAGUUUGACGAAGCUGAAGUAUGACGGCCUGAAGCUUAAUAGUUGCUAUAAUAGACUUUCCUGCAAAAAAUUCUAGAGAGAUCUUUGUAAUAUAUUUAUAGAAAAAAACUUAUGUAAAUUUGUACAUACCUUGUAAUAUAUCUUGUCUCCUUUAUCCGUGUACAAUCUGCUUUGCUGUGAACG
RNAcentral lists this unclassified non-coding RNA (688 nucleotides) under Zea mays. Its description in RNAcentral is "misc RNA Zm00001eb242270". Lineage: Eukaryota; Viridiplantae; Streptophyta; Magnoliopsida; Poales; Poaceae. The record is from RNAcentral.